CGCACCGUAGAGCAGUCGGGUAGCUCGCUGGGCUCAUAACUCAGAGGUCGGCGGUUCGAAUCCGCCCGGUGCCA
Molecule: transfer RNA, 74 nt
Filed under: Kibdelosporangium persicum
Lineage: Bacteria; Bacillati; Actinomycetota; Actinomycetes; Pseudonocardiales; Pseudonocardiaceae
Description: tRNA-fMet(cat)
Rfam family: tRNA
About the family: Transfer RNA (tRNA) molecules are approximately 80 nucleotides in length. Their secondary structure includes four short double-helical elements and three loops (D, anti-codon, and T loops). Further hydrogen bonds mediate the characteristic L-shaped molecular structure. tRNAs have two regions of fundamental functional importance: the anti-codon, which is responsible for specific mRNA codon recognition, and the 3' end, to which the tRNAs corresponding amino acid is attached (by aminoacyl-tRNA synthetases). tRNAs cope with the degeneracy of the genetic code in two manners: having more than one tRNA (with a specific anti-codon) for a particular amino acid; and 'wobble' base-pairing, i.e. permitting non-standard base-pairing at the 3rd anti-codon position.
Source: RNAcentral